UUUGGGCGUGUCUCCCUUCUCGGGAGACUCUCUCAACCCCCACGAACCCUUGACCUCAAAUCGGGUGAGACUACCCGCUGAACUUAAGCAUAUCAAUAAGCGGAGGAAAAGAAACUAACAAGGAUUCCCCUAGUAACUGCGAGUGAAGCGGGAAAAGCUCAAAUUUAAAAUCUGGCGGUCUCUGGC
RNAcentral lists this ribosomal RNA (186 nucleotides) under Lactarius deliciosus. RNAcentral describes it as "partial 28S ribosomal RNA". The stretch from base 51 to 186 matches the Rfam family "Eukaryotic large subunit ribosomal RNA", at positions 1 to 136 of the family's 3401-position model. The record is from RNAcentral. Lineage: Eukaryota; Fungi; Basidiomycota; Agaricomycetes; Russulales; Russulaceae.